RNAcentral lists this ribosomal RNA (425 nucleotides) under uncultured bacterium. Its description in RNAcentral is "partial small subunit ribosomal RNA". It matches the Rfam family "Bacterial small subunit ribosomal RNA", at positions 369 to 808 of the family's 1533-position model. The record is from RNAcentral.
CAAUGGGGGAAACCCUGNAUGCAGCAACGCCGCGUGAGUGAAGAAGUAUUUCGGUAUGUAAAGCUCUAUCAGCAGGNAAAGAAAAUGACGGUACCUGNACUAAGAAGCCCCGGCUAACUACGUGCCAGCAGCCGCGGUAAUACGUAGGGGGCNAGCGUUAUCCGGAUUUACUGGGUGUAAAGGGAGCGUAGACGGNUUNNCAAGUCUGAUGUGAAAGGCCGGGGCUUAACCCCUGGACUGCUUUGGAAACUGUCUNGCUCGAGUGCCGGAGAGGUAAGNGGAAUUCCUAGUGUAGCGGUGAAAUGCGUAGAUAUUAGGAAGAACACCAGUGGCGAAGGCGGCUUACUGGACUGUAACUGACGUUGAGGCUCGAAAGCGUGGGGAGCAAACAGGAUUAGAUACCCUGGUAGUCCAAGGGCGAAUUC